GACGAACGCUGGCGGCGUGCUUAACACAUGCAAGUCGAACGGGAAGGCCCUGCUUUUGUGGGGUGCUCGAGUGGCGAACGGGUGAGUAACACGUGAGUAACCUGCCCUUGACUUUGGGAUAACUUCAGGAAACUGGGGCUAAUACCGGAUAGGAGCUCCUGCUGCAUGGUGGGGGUUGGAAAGUUUCGGCGGUUGGGGAUGGACUCGCGGCUUAUCAGCUUGUUGGUGGGGUAGUGGCUUACCAAGGCUUUGACGGGUAGCCGGCCUGAGAGGGUGACCGGCCACACUGGGACUGAGAUACGGACCAGACUCAUACGGGAGGCAGCAGUGGGGAAUAUUGCACAAUGGGCGGAAGCCUGAUGCAGCAACGCCGCGUGCGGGAUGACGGCCUUCGGGUUGUAAACCGCUUUCGCCUGUGACGAAGCGUGAGUGACUGUAAUGGGUAAAGAAGCACCGGCUAACUACGUG
This 468-nucleotide ribosomal RNA is filed under the name uncultured bacterium. RNAcentral's name for it is "partial 16S ribosomal RNA". It matches the Rfam family "Bacterial small subunit ribosomal RNA", at positions 28 to 507 of the family's 1533-position model. The record is from RNAcentral.